GUGGGGAAUAUUGCGCAAUGGCCGCAAGGCUGACGCAGCGACGCCGCGUGUGGGAUGAAGGCCUUCGGGUUGUAAACCACUGUCAGGAGGGACGAAUACCUGGCUUCAAAUAGUUGACCAGGGGUGACGGUACCUCCAAAGGAAGCACCGGCUAACUCCGUGCCAGCAGCCGCGGUAAUACGGAGGGUGCGAGCGUUGUCCGGAAUCACUGGGCGUAAAGAGCGCGUAGGCGGUCGUUUAAGUCGUUUGUGAAAUCCCGAGGCUCAACCUCGGGCCUGCAGGUGAAACUGGAUGGCUAGAGCACGGUAGGGGCGAGCGGAAUUCCCGGUGUAGCGGUGGAAUGCGUAGAUAUCGGGAGGAACACCCGUGGCGAAGGCGGCUCGCUGGGCCGUUGCUGACGCUGAGGCGCGAAAGCGUGGGUAGCAAACAGG
RNAcentral lists this ribosomal RNA (431 nucleotides) under uncultured bacterium. Its description in RNAcentral is "bacterial SSU rRNA". It matches the Rfam family "Bacterial small subunit ribosomal RNA", at positions 354 to 776 of the family's 1533-position model. The record is from RNAcentral.